This 480-nucleotide small RNA is filed under the name Pongo abelii (Sumatran orangutan). RNAcentral's name for it is "retained intron". Lineage: Eukaryota; Metazoa; Chordata; Mammalia; Primates; Hominidae. The record is from RNAcentral.
CUAAUUCAUAUUUGUUUCAUAAUUGUUUUAUUUAAAACGUCUUUAAGUAUGUAAGCAAUUAUCCGUGUCCAUGUAGGAAAUCAUUGGCGAGUUUGUUCUGCAAGCCUUAAUGUUAGUUUUUUUGCUGUCAGCUUUAACUGUGUCUGUUUUGGUGGUCAUCUUCCCCAAGUCUGUUUUUAUUUUCUUUCUAGACACACGAUAGUAAGGAGCAUUUAGCAAUGAUGGAAAGGAUUCUUGGACCUCUACCAAAACAUAUGAUUCAGAAAACCAGGAAACGUAAAUAUUUUCACCACGAUCGAUUAGACUGGGAUGAACACAGUUCUGCCGGCAGAUAUGUUUCAAGACGCUGUAAACCUCUGAAGGAAUUUAUGCUUUCUCAAGAUGUUGAACAUGAGCAUCUCUUUGACCUCAUUCAGAAAAUGUUGGAGUAUGAUCCAGCCAAAAGAAUUACUCUCAAAGAAGCCUUAAAGCAUCCUUUCU